CAGGUAAUGGAGCAAGUGUCAUUAGAAGUGACAAUUGAUUACUCUUCCAAUCCACAGGAUACUCUGUCUCUGUUGGUUUAAUCAUUGCUGCAGUAAUAGUGCCUUGCUUGAUCCUUUUGCUGUGCCUUGCACUGUGGUUUUGGAAGCGCUGGUCAUAUGAUGAUAUUCCAUGAGCUCCCAACAUUUCUUCUCUCGCGUUUGGAAUAAGUACCAAGACGCCGAGAAACCUGUAGACUCAAGAGAUAGUUUUGUUAUGUCAAUAAUUAUUGUUUUGGCAGGAAAACAUGUGCUUCAUAUCAUUUCUUCUGUUAAUGUGUGUUACAAUGACUGAUUGCUCAUUUGGCAAAACAACUCUAUAUGUUUUCAUCUUUUCUGCUUGUUGAGAAUGUAUGCAUUUGGAUUUACUUUGAGAAUAUUUGGUUCUAGUUUUUCAUCUACCUGUAUGUGUUUCUAGCCUUAUCCUUGUUAGGUAUUGGUAUGAAUGACUUUUUGACUUCAUAAGGUGAGUUGAGAUUUGUUUCCUGUCUUGUUACUCUCCAAAGUAUGGGGCAGCAUGACUGUGUUUGUGAAGAAUUGGAUGAGUUCACUUGUUUAGCCUUUUAUGUUGGGAAAUAUUUUGUCAGGAAAGUUAAAUUUUAUGGUCAGAUUUUUUUCUCAUUAAAUUUCUGGGCUUUAUUUCUUGUUUAAUAUCAUCAUUACAUAUUACACAAAAUUAAAAGAACAAUAUAUUUGGUAUUUAUAAAUUAUUAAAUAAAAAUACAGGAAUAUA
This is a long non-coding RNA of Dipodomys spectabilis (banner-tailed kangaroo rat), 769 nucleotides long. RefSeq lists it as uncharacterized. The transcript is spliced from 2 exons. Lineage: Eukaryota; Metazoa; Chordata; Mammalia; Rodentia; Heteromyidae. The record is from RefSeq and is a predicted model, not a curated record.